AGUAAAUUGGUUAAGUUAGAAAGGGCGCACGGUGGAUGCCUUGGCACUAGGAGCCGAAGAAGGACGGGACUAACACCGAUAUGCUUUGGGGAGCUGUACGUAAGCGUUGAUCCAGAGAUUUCCGAAUGGGGGAACCCACUAUCUUUAGUCGGAUAGUAUCCUUACGUGAAUACAUAGCGUGAGGAAGGCAGACCCAGGGAACUGAAACAUCUAAGUACCUGGAGGAAGAGAAAGAAAAAUCGAUUU
This 246-nucleotide ribosomal RNA is filed under the name Listeria monocytogenes. RNAcentral describes it as "partial 23S ribosomal RNA". It matches the Rfam family "Bacterial large subunit ribosomal RNA", at positions 1 to 237 of the family's 2925-position model. The record is from RNAcentral. Lineage: Bacteria; Bacillati; Bacillota; Bacilli; Caryophanales; Listeriaceae.